Molecule: long non-coding RNA, 325 nt
Organism: Myzus persicae (green peach aphid)
Lineage: Eukaryota; Metazoa; Arthropoda; Insecta; Hemiptera; Aphididae
Exons: 2
Source: RefSeq, a predicted model, not a curated record
UAUUAUUUUAGGUUAUGUGUACCAAUUUAUAAAGAGCCGCAUUACUGAUAAUAAAAAUCGAAUUAUAACGGACCCGAUAGAAUUUUGUCAAAGCAUGAAAUAAAUUAAUUUAAACAAUACACUUAUCAUAAUACUGUUAUGUACUUUUAUUUAUGAUGGUUAAUUGUGAGUAAAUUCAUACUUUAUUAUAUAAGAUGACUUUAUAUUGUUAUACAUAAUAUUUAUAAUAUAUUUAUCUAAAAUAAUUGAAAAUAAUACUAAUUAAAUAAACUUAUGUUACCUACGUGGUAACACUAAUAACAUCGGUUUAAUUGAUAAAGCAAAA